Molecule: ribosomal RNA, 253 nt
Filed under: uncultured bacterium
Lineage: Bacteria
Description: partial 16S ribosomal RNA
Rfam family: Bacterial small subunit ribosomal RNA
Source: RNAcentral
UACGUAGGGGGCAAGCGUUGUCCGGAAUCAUUGGGCGUAAAGAGCGCGUAGGCGGCCCGAUAAGUCCGCUGUGAAAGUCAAGGGCUCAACCCUUGAAUGCCGGUGGAUACUGUCGGGCUAGAGUCCGGAAGAGGCGAGUGGAAUUCCUGGUGUAGCGGUGAAAUGCGCAGAUAUCAGGAGGAACACCGAUGGCGAAGGCAGCUCGCUGGGACGGUACUGACGCUGAGGCGCGAAAGCGUGGGGAGCAAACGGG